AGUGAACGCUGGCGGUAGGCCUAACACAUGCCAGUCGAACGGCAGCGCAGUAAGAGCUUGCUCUUAUGGGGGGCGAAAGGGGGGCGGGUGAGGAAUACAACGGAACCUACUUUUUCGUGGGGGAUAACGUAGGGAAACUUACGACAAUACCGCAUCAGACCUACGGGUUAAAGCAGGGGAUCUUCGGACCUUUCGCGAGUGAAUGCGCCGAUGUCGGAUGAGCUAGGUGGCGGGGUAAAGGCCGACCAAGGCGCCUAUCCGUACCUGGUCUGAGAGGAUGAUCAGGCACACUGGAACUGAGAGACGGUACAGACUCCUACGGGAGGCACAAGUGGGGAAUAUUGGACAAUGGGCGGAAGCCUGAUCAAGCCAUACCGCGUUGGUGAAGAGGGGCUUCGGGGUGGAAAGCGCUUUUGUUGGGGGAGAAAACCAUCAGGUUGAAAGCCCGCUGUUCUGACGGUACCCAAAGAAUAAGCACCGGCUAACUUCGUG
RNAcentral lists this ribosomal RNA (492 nucleotides) under uncultured bacterium. Its description in RNAcentral is "partial 16S ribosomal RNA". It matches the Rfam family "Bacterial small subunit ribosomal RNA", at positions 29 to 507 of the family's 1533-position model. The record is from RNAcentral.